CCCUGGCAGUCAGAGGCGAUGAAGGGCGUGCUAAUCUGCGAUAAGCGCCGGUAAGGUGAUAUGAACCGUUAUAACCGGCGAUACCCGAAUGGGGAAACCCAGUGUGAUUCGUCACACUAUCAUUAACUGAAUCCAUAGGUUAAUGAGGCGAACCGGGGGAACUGAAACAUCUAAGUACCCCGAGGAAAAGAAAUCAACCGAGAUUCCCCCAGUAGCGGCGAGCGAACGGGGAGGAGCCCAGAGCCUGAAUCAGCAUGUGUGUUAGUGGAAGCGUCUGGAAAGGCGCGCGAUACAGGGUGACAGCCCCGUACACAAAAGCGCAUGUGCUGUGAGCUCGAUGAGUAGGGCGGGACACGUGGUAUCCUGUCUGAAUAUGGGGGGACCAUCCUCCAAGGCUAAAUACUCCUGACUGACCGAUAGUGAACCAGUACCGUGAGGGAAAGGCGAAAAGAACCCCGGCGAGGGGAGUGAAAAAGAACCUGAAACCGU
This 489-nucleotide ribosomal RNA is filed under the name Salmonella enterica. RNAcentral's name for it is "partial 23S ribosomal RNA". It matches the Rfam family "Bacterial large subunit ribosomal RNA", at positions 31 to 559 of the family's 2925-position model. Lineage: Bacteria; Pseudomonadati; Pseudomonadota; Gammaproteobacteria; Enterobacterales; Enterobacteriaceae. The record is from RNAcentral. RNAcentral also lists the same sequence under 4 other names.